RNAcentral lists this ribosomal RNA (220 nucleotides) under uncultured bacterium. RNAcentral's name for it is "partial 16S ribosomal RNA". It matches the Rfam family "Bacterial small subunit ribosomal RNA", at positions 1281 to 1500 of the family's 1533-position model. The record is from RNAcentral.
UAACGUCCCAGUUCGGAUUGUAGUCUGCAACCCGACUACAUGAAGCUGGAAUCGCUAGUAAUCGCGAAUCAGAAUGUCGCGGUGAAUACGUUCCCGGGUCUUGUACACACCGCCCGUCACACCAUGGGAGUCGGAAAUGCCCGAAGUCAGUGACCCAACCGUAAGGAGGGAGCUGCCGAAGGUGGAGCCGGUAACUGGGGUGAAGUCGUAACAAGGUAAC